Molecule: ribosomal RNA, 295 nt
Filed under: uncultured bacterium
Lineage: Bacteria
Description: partial 16S ribosomal RNA
Rfam family: Bacterial small subunit ribosomal RNA
Source: RNAcentral
GUGUCAGCAGCCGCGGUAAUACGGAGGGUGCGAGCGUUGUCCGGAAUCAUUGGGCGUAAAGGGCGCGUAGGUGGCCCGGUCAGUCUUUGGUGAAAGCGCGGGGCUCAACCCUGCGUCGGCCAGGGAUACUGCCGCGGCUCGAGCACUGUAGAGGCAGGCGGAAUUCCGGGUGUAGCGGUGGAAUGCGUAGAGAUCCGGAAGAACACCGGUGGCGAAGGCGGCCUGCUGGGCAGUUUAGCUGACACUGAGGCGCGACAGCGUGGGGAGCAAACAGGAUUAGAAACCCGAGUAGUCC